AACCUAAAAAGGAGGCGGCACUUUUUUUAUACCCAUUAGGAGUGAAUUUCUACAGUUUAUUCAUCAUUGAAACUUUGCUUUUCAAAAUUUUCUUACCAAAAUCACGAAGGUGGAUUGAGAUCAAAGUUUUAAUUUAGGAAAUCGGCGGGCACAAUAAAAUUGGCGAACCAGUUUUGUUAUAUAGAAAACUCUCUUGGCCAAUACAUUCAAUCACCACUUGCAAAUGCAAAAGCAUAAGUAAAAAGUUACUAUCGACACUAAAACAACAUCCAACUAAUCAAAGGAUAAUUGAUACACAUGAUUCAAAUGAGACUCUUCCUUCUUCUCAAUUUAUAUUUUGAUGAGCCAAAUGUGUUUGAUGGUUGGAGAUAAGUUUCGAGACAAAUUACAAGAUAAAUUUUGAUGGUUGAUAAGCAAUAGAAUUUGGCUGCAGCCACUAGUAAUUGCCCAAUUUUCCAAAUGAGAGAC
This is a long non-coding RNA of Mercurialis annua (annual mercury), 468 nucleotides long. RefSeq lists it as uncharacterized. The record is from RefSeq and is a predicted model, not a curated record. NCBI's taxonomy places the organism in Eukaryota, Viridiplantae, Streptophyta, Magnoliopsida, Malpighiales, Euphorbiaceae. The transcript has 3 exons.